AUUGAACGCUGGCGGCAUGCCUUACACAUGCAAGUCGAACGGCAGCACGGGUGCUUGCCCCUGGUGGCGAGUGGCGCACGGGUGAGUAAUACAUCAGAACAUCUCCUGUAGUGGGGGAUAGCCCGGCGAAAGCCGGAUUAAUACCGCAUACGAUCUACGGAUGAAAGCGGGGGACCUUCGGGCCUCGCGCUAUAGGGUUGGCCGAUAGCUGAUUCGCUAGUUGGUGGGGUAAAGGCCUACCAACGCGAAGACCAGUAGCUGGUCUGAGAGGACGGACAGUCACAAUGGGACUGAGAAACGGGCCAGACUCCCAAGGGAGGCAGCAGUGGGGAAUUUUGGGCAAUGGGCGAAAGCCUGAUCCAGCCAAGCCGCGGGUGUGAAGAAGGGCUUCGGGUUUUAAAACACUUUUAGUUGGGAAGAAAAGCAGUGAGUUAAUACCUUGCGGGGUUGGCGGUACCAAAAAAAAAAGCCCCGGCUAACUUCGUG
Molecule: ribosomal RNA, 486 nt
Filed under: uncultured bacterium
Lineage: Bacteria
Description: partial 16S ribosomal RNA
Rfam family: Bacterial small subunit ribosomal RNA
Source: RNAcentral